GGAUGUGAGACAGGUGUGUGACGGUUAUAUUGAACGUCGGGAUUUGAGACGGGUGUGUGCUGGUUAUAUUGAACGUCGGGAUGUGAGACGGGCGUGUGAUGGUUAUACUGAAUGUAGGGAUGUGAGACGGGUGUGUGAUCAUCAUUAUACUGAAUGUAGGGAUGUGAGACGGGUGUGUGCUGGUUAUAUUGAAUGUAGGGAUGUGAGACGGGCGUGUGACGGUUAUACUGAACGUCAGGAUGUGAGACAGGUGUGUGACGGUUAUAUUGAACGUCGGGAUGUGAGACGGGCGUGUGACGGUUAUACUGAACGUCGGGAUGUGAGACAGGUGUGUGACGGUUAUAUUGAACGUCGGGAUGUGAGACAGGUGUGUGCUGGUUAUAUCAUUAUAUUAGUGUUUGUGUGGGAGUGUGGUAUAGUAUCUCAGUAGCGUUGGGUCUUCACGGUGA
Molecule: long non-coding RNA, 449 nt
Organism: Ictalurus punctatus (channel catfish)
Lineage: Eukaryota; Metazoa; Chordata; Actinopteri; Siluriformes; Ictaluridae
Source: Ensembl